UCUAAUUUUAUUUACAGAACUUGGAUUUUUUUUUUUUUUGUUUAAAUUUAAACCUAGGAUUCUUCAGGAGCCAAGUAACCAUCAAUUUAAAUUUACCAAUCUAAUUUUGUUUCAAAAUAUUCAAAUUUUAAUUCAUUUAUUUUUAUGUUUUUCUUUCAGAACUUGGAUUUUUUUUUUGGAUCGACCCAAAUCGAUUUUCCUCCGGGAGCCGGGGAUCCCCUUUUCUUUUUUUGAACUUGACACUUUGAAUAUUUAAUGAACUUGGAUUUCUUAUCGUUUCAACCUAAAAACCUAUAGGAGUUGUCCUUCAAGAGAAGUAUUAGAUAAUUUAAUGACUAUAUUAUUCUUAUUUACUUUUAAAAAUUUUUAGAGCAUUCAGUCCUGGCAAUUUCUUUAGUAUCAUCUUUAAUAUCUUUAUUAUCAAUCGACAAUGGGAAAUCUUUAACUACUGCUGGAUCACUCUCUUAACUCGAUACUCCACUAUAUUCCAUUGUCUAUAUCACUACAUAAAUUACACUCUUCACAGGAGUAUUUCUGAAAAAGAUUAUUGAACAUUAGUUGCUGUAUAUGAUGAAAGGAGGAUAUAAAAUAAUUUAAUGGUAUUUUUUAUCUUGUAAGUUGUUACAAAUAUAUAUAUUUAUUUUCUUA
Molecule: long non-coding RNA, 648 nt
Organism: Sipha flava (yellow sugarcane aphid)
Lineage: Eukaryota; Metazoa; Arthropoda; Insecta; Hemiptera; Aphididae
Exons: 2
Source: RefSeq, a predicted model, not a curated record